Molecule: long non-coding RNA, 763 nt
Organism: Betta splendens (Siamese fighting fish)
Lineage: Eukaryota; Metazoa; Chordata; Actinopteri; Anabantiformes; Osphronemidae
Exons: 3
Source: RefSeq, a predicted model, not a curated record
CAUACUGUAAAGCAGCAGGAGCUCUUCAGGCCAAAUCGCAUCUUCUAAGCGUUCAGGUGCAGUUGCUCAGAACACUUGGAAUGAAAGUUGCAGACGGUGCGGCCCGGCUGAAGGUUCACCGUGAUCUCAUAGCCCUAAAGAAUGGGUCCAUUUAGGUCCGGAACCGUCCCGAAGCUUCCUACUGUACGUCCCCUUCCUUUGGGGCGGGUUUCGAACCAUAAGCAACACCACAUGACGGGGAACGAGCCCACCCGCCCGCUAACGAGGACCUCGUGGCUGCGGGGCUCCUCGCGGAAUGCGAGCGCGACCCCGUGUUUCCGCACGCGUCGGCGAAAGCACAACUUUUGUGCUUGCGUUGCCGAGCUCCAGCGCGCAUCUUGUUUACCGCCGUGCAGCCCCUCCAGCAGCGGGGCCCCCGGACCCGCUCACAAGUGUCUCUUUGUGGAAGCGUCAGACCUCAUCUCCACGGGGCGCGAGCUCGAAGCCCAGCCGUGCGCGUCGUUCCCCGACUCCUCUCGCUGCACGGAUGACAUUCUACCGCUGUUCACCGGGACGGUGCUCGCUCGCUCACAGACGUGUCCUUUGCAGGUGUAAUAAGGGGCCCGACCGCUGUGCUCCGGCCCACCGGGCUUCUGAAGGUGAGACUUGGCAACGACCUCUUCACGCUUCGCUUUGACAUUUACAACGGGGCGACUUCCAUUGUCCUUUGCUCGCCAGGGUAAAAACACAAUCAGUAUGAAGUUUUCCUCCUUUAACACCUUUC